RNAcentral lists this non-coding RNA (28 nucleotides) under Rattus norvegicus (Norway rat). Lineage: Eukaryota; Metazoa; Chordata; Mammalia; Rodentia; Muridae. The record is from RNAcentral.
UGCCUAGAGAAAGGAUCGUUUUGUGCUG